GUGGGGAAUAUUGGACAAUGGGCGCAAGCCUGAUCCAGCAAUGCCGCGUGGGUGAAGAAGGUCUUCGGAUUGUAAAGCCCUUUCGACGGGGACGAUGAUGACGGUACCCGUAGAAGAAGCCCCGGCUAACUUCGUGCCAGCAGCCGCGGUAAUACGAAGGGGGCUAGCGUUGCUCGGAAUUACUGGGCGUAAAGGGCGCGUAGGCGGCACUGUUAGUCAGGCGUGAAAGUCCUGGGCUCAACCUGGGAACUGCGCUUGAUACGGCAGAGCUAGAGGAUGGAAGAGGGUCGCGGAAUUCCCAGUGUAGAGGUGAAAUUCGUAGAUAUUGGGAAGAACACCGGUGGCGAAGGCGGCGACCUGGUCCAUUACUGACGCUGAGGCGCGACAGCGUGGGGAGCAAACAGGAUUAGAAACCCGUGUAGUCC
RNAcentral lists this ribosomal RNA (425 nucleotides) under uncultured bacterium. RNAcentral's name for it is "bacterial SSU rRNA". It matches the Rfam family "Bacterial small subunit ribosomal RNA", at positions 354 to 796 of the family's 1533-position model. The record is from RNAcentral.